Molecule: transfer RNA, 75 nt
Filed under: Nodosilinea foveolarum
Lineage: Bacteria; Bacillati; Cyanobacteriota; Cyanophyceae; Nodosilineales; Nodosilineaceae
Description: tRNA-Gly
Rfam family: tRNA
About the family: Transfer RNA (tRNA) molecules are approximately 80 nucleotides in length. Their secondary structure includes four short double-helical elements and three loops (D, anti-codon, and T loops).
Source: RNAcentral
GCGGAUGUGGUGUAGUCGGCAACAUAAGAGCUUGCCAAGCUCUUGUCACGGGUUCAAGUCCCGUCAUUCGCUCCA